AGAGAGAGACAUGCGCGCAUAUCAAUAAGCGGAGGAAAAGAAACUAACUAGGAUUCCCUCAGUAACGGCGAGUGAAGCGGGAAGAGCUCAAAUUUGAAAUCUUCAAGGGUUCUACCUUGACGAAUUGUAGUUUAAAGAAGUGUUUUCUGUUGAGGUUUUGGUAAAGUUCUUUGGAAUAGGACAUCAUAGAGGGUGAGAAUCCCGUAUUUGACCUUUACUUUCAACUUUGUGAUACACUUUCAAAGAGUCGGAUUGUUUGGGAACGCAGUCCAAAAUGGGUGGUAAAUUUCAUCUAAAGCUAAAUAUUGGCGAGAGACCGAUAGCGAACAAGUACCGUGAGGGAAAGAUGAAAAGAACUUUGAAAAGAGAGUUAAACAGUACGUGAAAUUGUCAAAAGGGAAGCGUUUGACACCAGUGUUGUUUUUCUGAAAAUCAAUUAAAGAACUGUUUAUGCUAAGUUGUUUAGACUUUAUCAGCUAACUGUUUAGUUUUGAGCUUUCUUUGAUGCACUUUUCAGUUAACAAGUCAACAUCAAUUUCUUUUGCUGUAAAAAAGCUUGAGGAAGGUGGCUUGAGAUUCGUCUUAAGUGUUUAUAGCCUCUUGCCUAUGCAGUCGGAGAGAUUGAGGUCUGCAGCGUAGAUCCUUCGGGGCUAAAUGCAUUUGUGCUAAGUUAUAGCAUUUUAUAGACAACUUGUUGACUAUGAUUUGUCUUGUAGCUUACUCGCUUAUGUUAUUUUACCUACGCUUAGGAUGUUGAGCGCAUGUCUCUCUCU
This 773-nucleotide ribosomal RNA is filed under the name uncultured Neocallimastigales. RNAcentral's name for it is "partial large subunit ribosomal RNA". It matches the Rfam family "Eukaryotic large subunit ribosomal RNA", at positions 23 to 616 of the family's 3401-position model. The record is from RNAcentral. Lineage: Eukaryota; Fungi; Neocallimastigomycota; Neocallimastigomycetes; Neocallimastigales.